Molecule: long non-coding RNA, 2384 nt
Organism: Hemicordylus capensis (graceful crag lizard)
Lineage: Eukaryota; Metazoa; Chordata; Lepidosauria; Squamata; Cordylidae
Exons: 2
Source: RefSeq, a predicted model, not a curated record
AGGGAGGAAGGAAGGAAAGGAGGGAAGGAAAGGAGGGAAGGAAAGGAGGGAGGGAGGAAAGUGGAAAAGUGAUUACGAAACAAGAUGAGAAAGAAAGAAAGAGAAAGAAAGAAAGAGAAAGAAAGAAAGACUAGUGAUUAUGAAAGAGAAGAUGGAGAAAGGAAGGAAGGAAGGAAAGGAGAGAGGGAAGGAAGGAAGGUGGAAAAGUGAUUAUGAAACAAAAGAUAAGAAAGAGAGAGAGAGAGGAAAGAAAGAAAGAAAAGGAGGGAAGGAAGAAAGGAAAGUGGAAAAGUGAUUACGAAACAAGAUGAGAAGAAAGAAAGAAAGAAAGAAAGAAAGAAAGACUAGUGAUUAUGAAAGAAAAGAUGGAGGAAGGAAGGAAAGGAGAGAGGGAAGGAAGGAAGAAAGGAAAGUGGAAAAGUGAUUAUGAAACAGAAGAUGGGAAAGAAAGAAAGAAAGAAAGAAAGAAAGAAAGAAAGAAAGAAAGACAGACUAGUGAUUAUGAAAGAGAAGAUGGAGAAAGGAAGGAAGGAAGGAAAGGAGGGAGAGAGGGAGGGAAGGAAGGAAAGUGAUUAUGAAGCAAAAGAUAAGAAAGAAAGAAAGAAAGAAAGAAAGAAAGAAAGAAAGAAAAGGAGGGAGAGAGGGAGGGAAGGAAGGAAGGAAAGUGGAAAAGUGAUUAUGAAGCAAAAGAUAAGAAAGAAAGAAAGAAAGAAAGAAAGAAAGAAAGAAAGAAAAGGAGGGAGAGAAGGAAGGAAGGAAGGAAGGAAAGUGAUUAUGAAACAGAAGAUGGGAAAGAAAGCAAAAAAGAAAGAGAGAGGCGCGGGCGCCCUGCAGAUGGCAGCUGGGCUCUGCCGCCGGGCGCCUGCCUCCGCCCUGUCAGCCUUGCAGCCCGCCUUCCCCAGCUGAGGGGUCUGGCUGGCGUUCCUCGGGCUCUAAGGCUCAGCGCUGGCCUUGCUCGCUCCUCGGCCCUGGGCGUGGCUUCCUCCAGGGCUUCCCGCCUCCCCCCCCCGCCCCGCCCCGCGCGGCUCGAGGGGUCUUGGCGGGCGCCUCCCGGCUCAGCGCCGCGCUGCCUCCUGACCCCCGCCCGCCCCCGCCCCGGGAACUCUCUUGCGCAGAUCCUACGUUGUUCCGCGGCGCGGCAGUUCUGCAGACCCACGUGGAUUCCCGGCACUUCUCAAAAGGGAAGCGCGGGGAGCGGGCGGGGAGGAUGAAUGAGUCUUAAUUUUCCUGUUUCCUUUUAAUUAAAUCUUCAAGCCCCAAAUGCUGCUGCUGGUGGUGGGGCGGAGGGGGAGGAGGAGGAGAGCCUGUUCCCAAUUUUGCCCCUGGAACGGGAGACCGCCGCUCGGCCCCAUCAGCAUUGGCUCUGCGUCCAGCUGGAGAGCAAAGUAACUGCAGUAGAACCGUGUGGCCAGAUGGCCGAGGCAAGGCGCUGGAGGCGAGGAGGAAAACGGAGGGCCGACGGCCCGCAGGAACACGGCCCUGCUCUUUUUGUAUACGUGUGGAAUUCCCGGAACGCCUGUUGAGCGCAGACUGCGUCCCCGGGAACGCUGCCCCACCCAGAAGGUGACGCGCCCCUCCCAUCCGUCGGAACACGGCCAAGUUACAACCGGAGUACCGUUUGGUGGAAGCAAAGCCGAGCCGAGCCGAAAAAGAGCUGCAGUCCCCGAAUCCCAAGUGUUGGCGAUUUCCCCCUUUGGAUUGUUCAUACGCCGAGAAUUAAAAGGAAAAGGAAACGACAUCCGAAUAAUAUCCGCUUACCUUUUCUAAAUCUUUUUUUCUCUUUUCCGAACAGCGACUCGGGCUCCCUUUCCACUUGCCAGGACGUUCUCCAAGCUGAGGGCUAAAGUUUCCUGAAGCAACAGCUGGAAGGAAAGAAAAAGAAAAGAGAAUCCCGAAAGAAUUCAGUAUACUUUGCUUUCAGAAAAGAUGCAGGCAGCCUUUCAGCUAACGGAUUCCUCGCAGAGGGGUCUCUUUUCAGGAAGCAAACGCAGCUCCCAGAGAGAGGUUAUGAAGCAGCGUGGUGGAGAGAGAGGCAGCUUAAAAAAGUUGGGAUUUUUGCCAGGGUAAUUUUAAAAAAGAAGAAAAAUCCUGCUUCUUUUCCUUUUUUUUUUUUUUUUUUGGCCCAAAUAACUCCUCCUCCUCCGAUGACGGCAUCUCAAAAGGCAGGUCUGUUUCUGCGAUAGAAUCCAAAGUCUGUUUGGUGGCUGGGAAAAAAGUUGCCAGAAGAAGACAGAAAUGGGAGAGAAAUGUGAAAUUUUGCAAGGGAGGGAUCAGAGGGAGUUUGCAUUGUGUUGUGAGCGGCCAGAUUGUGUAAUGAGCCGCCCAGAAAUUUUUUUUUUGUUAUGGGGCGGCUAACAAAUAAAGUUGUUGUUAUUAUUUGCAAA